RNAcentral lists this ribosomal RNA (468 nucleotides) under uncultured bacterium. RNAcentral's name for it is "partial 16S ribosomal RNA". It matches the Rfam family "Bacterial small subunit ribosomal RNA", at positions 28 to 507 of the family's 1533-position model. The record is from RNAcentral.
GACGAACGCUGGCGGCGUGCUUAACACAUGCAAGUCGAACGGAAAGGCCCUGCUUUUGUGGGGUGCUCGAGUGGCGAACGGGUGAGUAACACGUGAGUAACCUGCCCUUGACUUUGGGAUAACUUCAGGAAACUGGGGCUAAUACCGGAUAGGAGCUCCUGCUGCAUGGUGGGGGUUGGAAAGUUUCGGCGGUUGGGGAUGGACUCGCGGCUUAUCAGCUUGUUGGUGGGGUAGUGGCUUACCAAGGCUUUGACGGGUAGCCGGCCUGAGAGGGUGACCGGCCACAUUGGGACUGAGAUACGGCCCAGACUCCUACGGGAGGCAGCAGUGGGGAAUAUUGCACAAUGGGCGGAAGCCUGAUGCAGCAACGCCGCGUGCGGGAUGACGGCCUUCGGGUUGUAAACCGCUUUCGCCUGUGACGAAGCGUGAGUGACGGUAAUGGGUAAAGAAGCUCCGGCUAAUUACGUG